AGCGAACGCUGGCGGCAGGCCUAACACAUGCAAGUCGAACGAACUCUUCGGAGUUAGUGGCGGACGGGUGAGUAACACGUGGGAACGUGCCUUUUGGUUCGGAAUAACUCAGGGAAACUUGUGCUAAUACCGAAUGUGCCCUUCGGGGGAAAGAUUUAUCGCCAUUAGAGCGGCCCGCGUCUGAUUAGCUAGUUGGUGAGGUAACGGCUCACCAAGGCGACGAUCAGUAGCUGGUCUGAGAGGAUGACCAGCCACACUGGGACUGAGACACGGCCCAGACUCCUACGGGAGGCAGCAGUGGGGAAUCUUGCGCAAUGGGCGAAAGCCUGACGCAGCCAUGCCGCGUGAAUGAUGAAGGUCUUAGGAUUGUAAAAUUCUUUCCCCGGGGACGAUAAUGACGGUACCCGGAGAAGAAGCCCCGGCUAACUUCGU
Molecule: ribosomal RNA, 432 nt
Filed under: uncultured bacterium
Lineage: Bacteria
Description: partial 16S ribosomal RNA
Rfam family: Bacterial small subunit ribosomal RNA
Source: RNAcentral